This 504-nucleotide ribosomal RNA is filed under the name uncultured bacterium. RNAcentral's name for it is "partial 16S ribosomal RNA". It matches the Rfam family "Bacterial small subunit ribosomal RNA", at positions 30 to 523 of the family's 1533-position model. The record is from RNAcentral.
AUUGAACGCUGGCGGCAGGCCUAACACAUGCAAGUCGAACGGUAGCACAGAGAGCUUGCUCUCGGGUGACGAGUGGCGGACGGGUGAGUAAUGUCUGGGAAACUGCCCGAUGGAGGGGGAUAACUACUGGAAACGGUAGCUAAUACCGCAUAACGUCGCAAGACCAAAGUGGGGGACCUUCGGGCCUCACACCAUCGGAUGUGCCCAGAUGGGAUUAGCUAGUAGGUGGGGUAAUGGCUCACCUAGGCGACGAUCCCUAGCUGGUCUGAGAGGGUGACCAGCCACACUGGAACUGAGACACGGUCCAGACUCCUACGGGAGGCAGCAGUGGGGAAUAUUGCACAAUGGGCGCAAGCCUGAUGCAGCCAUGCCGCGUGUAUGAAGAAGGCCUUCGGGUUGUAAAGUACUUUCAGCGGGGAGGAAGGCGGUGAAGUUAAUAGCUUUACCGAUUGACGUUACCCGCAGAAGAAGCACCGGCUAACUCCGUGCCAGCCGCCGCAGUAA